GGAAACAUUUCUCCAAUAUUUACUGUGAGAUACUGGUGGAGCUCCCAGAGAUAAAUCUCACAAAAUUGUGGGGCCCUCCAUGACUGCAUCCCCCUGGAGUUUUUAACUUCCAGAGUUGUCCACGUGGAGCCUCCAGGACCUUGUCAACUACAGUUCAGGUUUUCCUCCUGCAGUGCUGGUUCCCGAGGAGGUUUCCCCUUCCAUGUCUCUGCCCUGGUUCUCUUGCAGCUAGAGUUCCACACAAAAUUUCAGUUCUGGCAAUCAGAGACAUUCAUGGACACUUGGAAAGCAAAAGUGAGCACUUUAAGAUGUUGGCUGCAUGAGAGGAGACUGGAUAUUCUAGGGCACCCGUGGAGUAGUCACCUGGAGUCAUAACUGUCAUAGUGUGGAACAAUGCUCUCAGACAGGGAGGAGAGAGUCAGCUUUCGUCCUGUGAGUCUGAGCCAAGAGAGAAUUUUAAUCAUCUCAGAGGAACCCAACCUGAGUAAUUCCUUGACGUCAUUCACGAAAUCUGUCCAUCUCUCAGAGUGACCAGCUUGGGCCUGAGCCACCACACUUUGCUCAUUCUCUGGCAGGCAAAGACAACUCUAAAAAUAUUCUCUAGAAGGGACUUCUGUGGGUUGGAUGUUGGCACCUCUGUUUCUCUGGCGUUUGGAGAAAGAAGCCUCUAGGCAUGUGGCCUGUGAUGGGGAGAGGGAAUCAGUGGAUUGCGUCUAAUUUGAGGGCUUUGCAUACUCUACCCCUCAGCCAGUCUUCUUAACUGGUUUGGCAGAAGAGAAAGCAGCGUAAAGAUAUACAUUUCUACUAUAAACUCUAGAAGGGCAGGGAAAUCAAGAAGCAAGGAUCCCAAACAAGCUCAGGGCUUUGAGCAAUUGAUUGUCUCUGUUAGUGGAGUUAUAGGAUGGGCUGAAAAUUGGAGCGAUUGCAAGACUUUAAAAGGAGUAGAUAGACCCAGGAAUCCUUUCUAUAUCCUCUGAAGUUAGAUGACUAUCCCUCCUGGGUCCCAGAAAAGACUGGAGAGUUACCAUAAUGAAUGGUAAAACUUUCAGCCUCCUUCCUUACUCAUUGGCUUAUACUCCACCCCAACCUCCCUCCCACUGGCCCGUGCAGGAGACUGGAGAACUUCUCUUAGGGACAACAAAAAGUCAAGGGAAAAGACUUAUAGCAAUUCAUAGUUU
This 1178-nucleotide long non-coding RNA is filed under the name Equus asinus (donkey). Its description in RNAcentral is "lncRNA (ENSEASG00005035810.1)". The record is from RNAcentral. Lineage: Eukaryota; Metazoa; Chordata; Mammalia; Perissodactyla; Equidae.